RNAcentral lists this ribosomal RNA (834 nucleotides) under uncultured soil archaeon. Its description in RNAcentral is "bacterial SSU rRNA". It matches the Rfam family "Archaeal small subunit ribosomal RNA", at positions 21 to 859 of the family's 1478-position model. The record is from RNAcentral.
AGGUCACUGCUAUCGGUGUUCGAUUAAGCCAUGCGAGUCGUGAGGGGUAAAGCCCUCGGCGGAGUGCUCAGUAACACGUGGACAACCUACCCAAGAGUCAGGGAUAACCCCGGGAAACUGGGGAUAACACCUGAUAGGCCAUGACAUCUGGAAUCGAGUUGUGGUUUAAACGUAAGGCUCUUGGAUGGGUCUGCGGCGGAUUAGGUUGUUGCCGGUGUAACGUACCAGCAAGCCUGUAAUCCGUACGGGUUGUGGGAGCAAGAGCCCGGAGAUGGAUUCUGAGACACGAAUCCAGGCCCUACGGGGCGCAGCAGGCGCGAAAACUCUACAAUGCAGGCAACUGCGAUAGGGGAACAUCGAGUGGCACCCACCAUGGGUGUCUGUCCAAUCGUCUAAAAAACGAUUGUCAGCAAGGGCCGGGCAAGACCGGUGCCAGCCGCCGCGGUAAUACCGGCGGCUCGAGUGGUGGCCGAUAUUAUUGAGUCUAAAGGGUCCGUAGCCGGCUUUGCAAGUCCCCUGGGAAAUCCAGCGGCUUAGCCGUUGGGCUUUCAUGGGAUACUACAUUGCUUGGGACUGGGAGAGGUAGGAGGUACUCAGGGGGUAGGGGUGAAAUCCUGUAAUCCUUUGGGGACCACCGGUGGCGAAGGCGUCCUACCAGAACAGGUCCGACGGUGAGGGACGAAAGCUAGGGGCACGAACCGGAUUAGAUACCCGGGUAGUCCUAGCCGUAAACGAUGCUCGCUAGGUGUCACGGCAGUCGUGAAUUGUCGUGGUGCCGUAGGGAAGCCGUGAAGCGAGCCACUUGGGAAGUACGACCGCAAGGUUGAAACUUAA